Helianthus annuus (common sunflower) is the source of this 2471-nucleotide long non-coding RNA. RefSeq lists it as uncharacterized. The transcript has 13 exons. The record is from RefSeq and is a predicted model, not a curated record. Lineage: Eukaryota; Viridiplantae; Streptophyta; Magnoliopsida; Asterales; Asteraceae.
CAUUCAAUCUCAUUCACGGCCGCUUCUCUUCUCUUUGUGACCUAAAUUCUUCACCAUUUCUUCUCAUCUCUCCCUUGAAAUCAAUCUACAUCAGUUAGAUUAAAUUUGCAUCUCUCUUCUUCACACGCCAAAUAAACCCUAACUUGCAUCCUCUUCCUCUUCCUCUUCCCUUCGUUCAACUCGAGAAAACAUUGUCAAUACGCUACAUUCAAACUUCACCAACCCCGAUCAUCUCUAAAGUCUCACCGUUUCAUCAAUGUAAGACGAACAUCGACGGUGCCGGGAUACGAUAAUAUUUAGGGCUGGCCAAUAUGAUAAAAUUUAAAUCAAAGUGAUUACUGAGGUGCAAUGAAAGUGUAUAUGAAGUAAUUACAGAUGAUAAUCGUGAGAGGACCAUGAUCUUUAUAAGGAACAAAGAAAAUUUGAAUGUUUUGAUCGAGACCAAAGGUGGGAAGAAGUCUACCAUUAGUAAUUCCUUUUAUGAAGCUCCAUUGUUGGUGUUAAUUUCUGUUUAAAACCAUGGCUGAAAUUACGUUUUUCGAGCCCAACAUCUUCACUGACCCUGAAGGUCAAGGUCUCCAGGCUUUACCAAAGCCCAAGUGGAUGAGAUCUUGAACCCUGCUGAAUGCACAAUUGUCUCUUCAUUGUCGAAUGAGCAUGUAGACUCUUAUGUUCUAUCCGAACCGAGUCGGUUUGUGUUCCCUUACAAAAUCGUUAUCAAAACUUGUGUAACCACUAGACUGCUGCUCUCGAUAUCGGCUAUUCUCAAGCUGGUGGAAUCGAUUUCGCUUAUUGUCCAGUCAACAAGAUACACACGCGGUUGCUUUAUCUUUCCCAGUGCUCAAUCGUACCCUCACCGCAGCUUCACCGAAGAAGUUUCAGUGCUGGAUGGUCAUUUUGAAAAGCAUGGUUUAGCCAGCAAAGAGUGAUGUAAUUUCAGUUUUUUAGGUAAUGGCAAAGGUGCUGCAACUUCUUAAUAUGUUAUGCGAAUUGCACCAUAUGUUCAGGUAGAUCUUUUCCAAAUAAUGUUUAAUCAAUUUCGAUCUGUCUCAAGUAGUAAUUUAUUUAUUUUUUGUAUGAUUAUUAAUUAAACAAAUGUUACAUUAUAUGCUAUAAAUCUUAUAUAUCCCGUUAAACCCCUCAAAUUGUCACAAAUCAUCGAUUCAAGAAGCAAAAACUCAUAUCCAAUGGGCUCCAAGCGACUUGACUUCGGUGACGGCGCUAGCCCCGGGAAGAUUUUAUCGGUGGUUUAGCGAAGGAUACUACCAUAGAUACAUUUGUUAAGUACUUUGGAAAGUAUGGAGACCUUACGGACUCGGUUAUUAUAAAUGAUCGACAGACCGGUCGGCUGAGGGGCUUCUGGUUUGUUACGUAUGCGGAUCCUUCGGUUGUUGACAUUGUUAUUGCUGAGACACAUGUUAUUAAUGGGAAACAAGUUGAAGAAGAUAAUAAAAUGAAUGAAUGUUUCAAGAAGGGCAAGAAAAGAUGAUAAAACAUGGUUUGUGGACAUUCCAUUCAUCUGGAUUGCUACAGGAAGUUGAUUGACCAGGAUUAGUUAUUUCACAAUCCUUUUAUGGAUUUUCACUUUUUCUAAAAUGGUUUAUUUUCUAUGGGUGCAGAAUUGUAGUUUAUGGAUGCUAAUUUCUUCGUCUUCCAGAUACCAGUGUCCCAUAUGCUCAAGAUCGGUGUCUAAUACGUCCAAAAUAUGGCAAAGGUUAGACCAAGAGGGCGUGAGGCGGAAGAGGUUGAGCCCAUACUAGAUGCAUUGCCGAAUCUAGAACAGUACAUAUACCGCUCUUCAGCCGGUGUUUACCUUAAAUCCGAUAUUUUACCACAUCGUGAGGUUCGUUUUUUGAACAUUUUUUAAACAACCUUUUACUGGGAAGCUCAAGACCGAGGACUUACUACAGUCAAAGGGUGUCAACUACACUUCUAUAAGGCCCGUUUAUAUUUACGACCCGUUGAACUACAACCAUAUCGAAGAGUGACUUUUCCAUAGGUUGAAAGCGGGCCGACUCAUCCCCAUUCCCAACUCAGGUUUGCAAGUAACCCAACUCGGUCACGUAAAGGAUUUGGCUACAGCUUUUAUAAAAGUUUUGGGGAAUGAAAAAGCAAGCAAACAAGUGUACAACAUUUUAGGAGAUAGAUAUGUUACUUUCGAUGGAUUAGCAAGAGCUUGUGCUAAGGCUGGUGGAUUCCCUGAGCCCAAGAUCAUUCACUAUAAUCCCAAGGAGUUCCAUUACGGUAAAAAGAAAGCAUUUCCAUUCCAGAACCAGAUAUGCAAUGAUAAAGAUCAAGCAAAUUCAUGGUUUCGUGGCUUAAAACUGUACUUUACUCGCUUUGUUGUUUUAAAAUUAAGGAAUUUUGGCUUGAGUUGUAGUCAUAGUUUAAUAAAUUUUGGCCUUAUUGAGUUUUUAAACUAUAAUUUGUUUAACCAAGUGAUAUUAAGCCUAUAAUAAUUGUUUUUGUUA